This 23-nucleotide non-coding RNA is filed under the name Cricetulus griseus (Chinese hamster). The record is from RNAcentral. Lineage: Eukaryota; Metazoa; Chordata; Mammalia; Rodentia; Cricetidae.
ACUAGGUACUCAAUGAAGAAAAG